RNAcentral lists this non-coding RNA (27 nucleotides) under Rattus norvegicus (Norway rat). Lineage: Eukaryota; Metazoa; Chordata; Mammalia; Rodentia; Muridae. The record is from RNAcentral.
ACAUGUUCUUUGUGACUUGUCCAUAGC